AGGGGAAAUAUCGUGAUUGCAAAGGUGAUUCUCUCAGGGCAAGCCUUGAUUUUAUUCCGGAUGUGCUGACCUCUGUGAUUUCCCACAAAUGUGGGAAACUCAGCU
This 105-nucleotide small nuclear RNA is filed under the name Choloepus hoffmanni (Hoffmann's two-fingered sloth). Its description in RNAcentral is "U1 spliceosomal RNA (ENSCHOG00000015657.1)". The record is from RNAcentral. Lineage: Eukaryota; Metazoa; Chordata; Mammalia; Pilosa; Megalonychidae.